This 205-nucleotide small nucleolar RNA is filed under the name Rhinolophus ferrumequinum (greater horseshoe bat). Its description in RNAcentral is "Small nucleolar RNA SNORA73 family (ENSRFEG00010007330.1)". It matches the Rfam family "Small nucleolar RNA SNORA73 family". Rfam says of the family: U17 (SNORA73A and SNORA73B) also known as E1 belongs to the H/ACA class of small nucleolar RNAs (snoRNAs). Vertebrate U17 is intron-encoded and ranges in length from 200-230 nucleotides, longer than most snoRNAs. It is one of the most abundant snoRNAs in human cells and is essential for the cleavage of pre-rRNA within the 5' external transcribed spacer (ETS). The record is from Rfam by way of RNAcentral. Lineage: Eukaryota; Metazoa; Chordata; Mammalia; Chiroptera; Rhinolophidae.
CCAACGUGGAUACCUCGGGAGGUCACUCUCCCCGGGCUCUGUCCAGGUGGCGUAGGGGAGCGUAGGGCUCUGCCCCGUGAUGUACAGUCCCUUUCCACGGCGUUGGAGAUGAAGCUGGGCUUUCGAGUCUGCGCCUGCAUAUUCCUACAGCUUCUCAGAGUCCUGUGGACAAUGACUGAGGAGACAAACCAUGCAGGAAACAGCU